GAGGCGAAGAACAGAGAAGAAAAAUGGCUUGCUUAAGGUUUAACGGUGAAGAGUUGUGGCUGGAAGAAAUGGUCAGGACGGUCCAGACCAGACGAACAACGCUGAUCAGAGAAGAUGUCACAUAGAGGUGCCCCGAGCCGAAAAAGGUUGGGAAACACUGGUAUACAGGAUUUGGUCAGUAACAGUAUGAUGGUAAUAUGUAUGGUGAUAAUAUUCCUCCUUGUAUACUGGUAUUAUUGUGAAUAUUGGUCAGUAUACAGGAUUUGGCCAGUAACCGUAUGAUGGUAAUAUGCAUGGUGAUAAUAUUCCUCCUUGUAUACUGGUAUUAUUGUGAAUAUUGGUCAGUAUACAGGAUUUGGCCAGUAACCGUAUGAUGGUAAUAUGUAUGGUGAUAAUAUUCCUCCUUGUAUACCGGUAUUAUUGUCAAUAUCAGUCUAAGUA
Molecule: long non-coding RNA, 441 nt
Organism: Hyla sarda
Lineage: Eukaryota; Metazoa; Chordata; Amphibia; Anura; Hylidae
Exons: 3
Source: RefSeq, a predicted model, not a curated record